CUCUUCUUGAAUAUAAUUUGAUGUAUGGCCUGCCCACUGAAUAUUAAAGGGCCGCGGUAUUUUGACCGUGCAAAGGUAGCAUAAUCAUUAGUCUUUUAAUUGUGGACUGGAAUGAAUGGUUUGACGAGGUGUUAACUGUCUUUAAUUUUUUUUAUUGAAUUUAAAUUUUAGGUUAAAAUGCCUAAAUGUUUUUUUGGGACGAGAAGACCCUAUAGAGUUUUAUAUAUUUUUAAUUUUUUUGUAUGAUAAAUUUUAAUUUAAAAAUUUAUUUUGUUGGGGUGAUGAGAAGAUUGAAUUAACUCUUUUUUAUUUUUUAUAUUUAUUCAUAUGUAUUUGAUCCAUUUUUAUUGAUUAUAAGACUAAAUUACC
RNAcentral lists this ribosomal RNA (369 nucleotides) under Cryptocercus banshanmenensis. Its description in RNAcentral is "partial 16S large subunit ribosomal RNA". Lineage: Eukaryota; Metazoa; Arthropoda; Insecta; Blattodea; Cryptocercidae. The record is from RNAcentral.